Molecule: ribosomal RNA, 124 nt
Filed under: Pallidocercospora heimii
Lineage: Eukaryota; Fungi; Ascomycota; Dothideomycetes; Mycosphaerellales; Mycosphaerellaceae
Description: partial 18S ribosomal RNA
Rfam family: Eukaryotic small subunit ribosomal RNA
Source: RNAcentral
UUCGGACUAGCCCAGGGAGGUCGGCAACGACCACCCAGGGCCGGAAAGUUGGUCAAACUCGGUCAUUUAGAGGAAGUAAAAGUCGUAACAAGGUCUCCGUAGGUGAACCUGCGGAGGGAUCAUU